Molecule: small RNA, 23 nt
Filed under: Arabidopsis thaliana (thale cress)
Lineage: Eukaryota; Viridiplantae; Streptophyta; Magnoliopsida; Brassicales; Brassicaceae
Description: Ath_wt_03218
Source: RNAcentral
CGGGUGCACCGCCGACCGACCUU